This 518-nucleotide ribosomal RNA is filed under the name Salmonella enterica. Its description in RNAcentral is "bacterial LSU rRNA". It matches the Rfam family "Bacterial large subunit ribosomal RNA", at positions 240 to 688 of the family's 2925-position model. The record is from RNAcentral. Lineage: Bacteria; Pseudomonadati; Pseudomonadota; Gammaproteobacteria; Enterobacterales; Enterobacteriaceae.
CCAGUAGCGGCGAGCGAACGGGGAGGAGCCCAGAGCCUGAAUCAGCAUGUGUGUUAGUGGAAGCGUCUGGAAAGGCGCGCGAUACAGGGUGAGAGCCCCGUACACAAAAGCGCACGUGCUGUGAGCUCGAUGAGUAGGGCGGGACACGUGGUAUCCUGUCUGAAUAUGGGGGGACCAUCCUCCAAGGCUAAAUACUCCUGACUGACCGAUAGUGAACCAGUACCGUGAGGGAAAGGCGAAAAGAACCCCGGCGAGGGGAGUGAAACAGAACCUGAAACCGUGUACGUACAAGCAGUGGGAGCCCCACCACCAAAGCGUUUCGCUUUGCGUGGUGCGCAAAAUGCGUAACGACAGCACGAUUGCGGUUAACGGAGCGUAAGCGACGUUCAACACAAAAAUCAGGCAGUGGAGCGUUUUGGGGUGGGGUGACUGCGUACCUUUUGUAUAAUGGGUCAGCGACUUAUAUUCUGUAGCAAGGUUAACCGCAUAGGGGAGCCGGAGGGAAACCGAGUCUUAAU